This 780-nucleotide ribosomal RNA is filed under the name Bacillus sonorensis. RNAcentral describes it as "bacterial SSU rRNA". It matches the Rfam family "Bacterial small subunit ribosomal RNA", at positions 79 to 841 of the family's 1533-position model. Lineage: Bacteria; Bacillati; Bacillota; Bacilli; Caryophanales; Bacillaceae. The record is from RNAcentral.
CUUGCUCCCUGAUGUUAGCGGCGGACGGGUGAGUAACACGUGGGUAACCUGCCUGUAAGACUGGGAUAACUCCGGGAAACCGGGGCUAAUACCGGAUGCUUGAUUGAACCGCAUGGUUCAAUUAUAAAAGGUGGCUUUUAGCUACCACUUACAGAUGGACCCGCGGCGCAUUACCUAGUUGGUGAGGUAACGGCUCACCAAGGCAACAAUGCGUAGCCAACCUGAGAGGGUGAUCGGCCACACUGGGACUGAAACACGGCCCAAACUCCUACGGGAGGCAGCAGUAGGGAAUCUUCCGCAAUGGACGAAAGUCUGACGGAGCAACGCCGCGUGAGUGAUGAAGGUUUUCGGAUCGUAAAACUCUGUUGUUAGGGAAGAACAAGUACCGUUCGAAUAGGGCGGUACCUUGACGGUACCUAACCAGAAAGCCACGGCUAACUACGUGCCAGCAGCCGCGGUAAUACGUAGGUGGCAAGCGUUGUCCGGAAUUAUUGGGCGUAAAGCGCGCGCAGGCGGUUUCUUAAGUCUGAUGUGAAAGCCCCCGGCUCAACCGGGGAGGGUCAUUGGAAACUGGGGAACUUGAGUGCAGAAGAGGAGAGUGGAAUUCCACGUGUAGCGGUGAAAUGCGUAGAGAUGUGGAGGAACACCAGUGGCGAAGGCGACUCUCUGGUCUGUAACUGACGCUGAGGCGCGAAAGCGUGGGGAGCGAACAGGAUUAGAUACCCUGGUAGUCCACGCCGUAAACGAUGAGUGCUAAGUGUUAGAGGGUUUCCGCCCUUU